UUUUGUGUUUGACUUUUAGUUGUAGGUCAAUUUAAAAAAUGGGAGGUUAGUUUUGUGUUUGACUUUUAGUUGUAGGUCAAUUUUGCAAAAAGCCCAACAAUGUAACAUGUAACAUGUAAUCUGAAACUGAUAUGUAUUUGUUUCCAAAAAAACUCAAUAAUAAUAUUAGUUUAAAAACAGCCGAACUAAUCCAAAAUAUUUAUACAUCCUUCAUUUACAAAUAUAUACCACCAUAAAAAGUAAUGCAAUAUUGAAUUAUAUUUUUUAAAAAUAAAUUUAAGACGAAUAUGAAUGUUUAAAAAUAUAUAUAAUCUUAUAGGUUUAGAUACAAAAUAUAAUAUUAAAUUUAGAUCCGUGAUAGAUGGUAUAUAU
RNAcentral lists this long non-coding RNA (372 nucleotides) under Brassica napus (rape). RNAcentral describes it as "long non-coding RNA (BNAP_LNC016910)". Lineage: Eukaryota; Viridiplantae; Streptophyta; Magnoliopsida; Brassicales; Brassicaceae. The record is from RNAcentral.